RNAcentral lists this transfer RNA (55 nucleotides) under Caenorhabditis nouraguensis. RNAcentral's name for it is "tRNA-Arg". The record is from RNAcentral. Lineage: Eukaryota; Metazoa; Nematoda; Chromadorea; Rhabditida; Rhabditidae.
AGAUGUUAAAUAGAUAUUACUAUGUUUGGUUACGGUCCAAAAAGAUAAACGUCUU